AAUACUAACGGGAACGCCCAAUGGAUGACGUAUAACGGUCAUGACAUAAUUAUGUUGUACAUCGCAUGCGCGAAGUCAAUACGGCACAAAUAACUUCCGGCCGUCUGUCAACAUGGCAGAAGCAUUCAACCUCCUGGAAUUUCGAGAACCUGACGGUAUAAUAGAUCUUUUCUUUGCUGAAGAUUUUUUCGAGACGUCUCAACCUGUCGUUCCAGUAGCAUCCGUUCAAACUAAUUCAGCUAAAAUUACUGAGAAAGUUCAAGUAGUGGUUAUAUGAAAAAUGAUCUGAUGUUCACAUGAUCUCAAGGGUUUGCCGAACCUCAAUCGAGUUUAACCCCAACACGGAAUAUUAUACAUCAAAACUGUUCAUCAGUACAUGUAUCUGCCUGUGCAUUUUCUACUAUAAGUUUAUCAUCAUUUGGAACAAUUAGUUAAAUUACUAUUCAAGAUAACUAAUAUAAAAAACAAAAACAACAAUAUGUGGUUGCAAUGAUCCAAGACUCUGUUCAAAGAUAUUUUAUUCACAUGACAGUGAUGCUUGUGAAAAAAAACACUUGUGAAUUUAACAGAUAAUGACCAUU
Molecule: long non-coding RNA, 581 nt
Organism: Patella vulgata (common limpet)
Lineage: Eukaryota; Metazoa; Mollusca; Gastropoda; Patellidae
Exons: 3
Source: RefSeq, a predicted model, not a curated record